RNAcentral lists this transfer RNA (77 nucleotides) under Methanobacteriota archaeon. RNAcentral's name for it is "Euryarchaeota archaeon tRNA-Lys". It matches the Rfam family "tRNA". Rfam says of the family: Transfer RNA (tRNA) molecules are approximately 80 nucleotides in length. Their secondary structure includes four short double-helical elements and three loops (D, anti-codon, and T loops). Further hydrogen bonds mediate the characteristic L-shaped molecular structure. tRNAs have two regions of fundamental functional importance: the anti-codon, which is responsible for specific mRNA codon recognition, and the 3' end, to which the tRNAs corresponding amino acid is attached (by aminoacyl-tRNA synthetases). tRNAs cope with the degeneracy of the genetic code in two manners: having more than one tRNA (with a specific anti-codon) for a particular amino acid; and 'wobble' base-pairing, i.e. permitting non-standard base-pairing at the 3rd anti-codon position. The record is from RNAcentral. Lineage: Archaea; Methanobacteriati; Methanobacteriota.
GGGCCAGUAGCUUAGCUAGGUAAAGCGAUCGGCUCUUAACCGAUCGANCGCGGGUUCGAAUCCCGUCUGGCCCNCCA